This 72-nucleotide transfer RNA is filed under the name Podarcis lilfordi (Lilford's wall lizard). RNAcentral's name for it is "tRNA-Ile". Lineage: Eukaryota; Metazoa; Chordata; Lepidosauria; Squamata; Lacertidae. The record is from RNAcentral.
GGAUGUGUGCCCGAGACUCAGGGAUUACUUUGAUAGAGUAAACCACAGGGACUUAUGAACCCCUCACCUCCU